This 224-nucleotide ribosomal RNA is filed under the name uncultured prokaryote. RNAcentral's name for it is "partial 16S ribosomal RNA". It matches the Rfam family "Bacterial small subunit ribosomal RNA", at positions 524 to 747 of the family's 1533-position model. The record is from RNAcentral.
UACAGAGGUCCCAAGCGUUGUUCGGAUUCACUGGGCGUAAAGGGUGCGUAGGCGGUCGGGUAAGUCUGAUGUGAAAGCUCGGAGCUUAACUCCGAAAUGGCAUUGGAUACUAUUCGGCUCGAGGAGUGGAGGGGAGACUGGAAUUCUCGGUGUAGCAGUGAAAUGCGUAGAUAUCGAGAGGAACACCAGUGGCGAAGGCGAGUCUCUGGACACUUCCUGACGCU